AUGCUGUCAUUAUCAGUGUUGCUGCUGCUUUCAGCUACAUUCUGUGGCGUUGGAGGUGUGGAGCUCACUCAGACAGACUCUGUGCUGGUGAAGCCUGGAGAGUCGUUCUCCAUCUCUUGUAAGAUCUCAGUGUCGAGUUAUUGUAUUAACUGGAUACGGCAACCUGCUGGAAAAGCACUGGAAUGGCUCGGAUAUCUGUGUAGCGCUGAUAGCACUGAUCUCAAAGACACGAUGAAGAGCAAGAUCAGUCUCAGCCAGGACAAAUCCAGCAGCACAGUUUAUUUAAGAGGACAAAACUUUCAGGUCGAGGACACGGCUGUGUAUUACUGUAUGUCAGUCUUUGUAAAGAAACUCUCUCACUUUAUACAUUAUAAUCGUCCUCCAGCUUCAUUUAACUCACCGGACAGAUAUUUGAUUAUUGGGAUUCUGCAAAACUGA
Molecule: non-coding RNA, 438 nt
Organism: Tachysurus vachellii
Lineage: Eukaryota; Metazoa; Chordata; Actinopteri; Siluriformes; Bagridae
Source: the annotation of a RefSeq genome assembly